CCUACGGGUGGCAGCAGUGGGGAAUAUUGGACAAUGGGGGCAACCCUGAUCCAGCCAUGCCGCGUGUGUGAAGAAGGCCCUCGGGUUGUAAAGCACUUUCAGUGAGGAAGAACGCCUGGUGGUUAAUACCCAUCAGGAAAGACAUCACUCACAGAAGAAGCACCGGCUAACUCCGUGCCAGCAGCCGCGGUAAUACGGAGGGUGCGAGCGUUAAUCGGAAUUACUGGGCGUAAAGCGCGCGUAGGUGGCUUGAUAAGCCGGUUGUGAAAGCCCCGGGCUCAACCUGGGAACGGCAUCCGGAACUGUCAAGCUAGAGUGCAGGAGAGGAAGGUAGAAUUCCCGGUGUAGCGGUGAAAUGCGUAGAGAUCGGGAGGAAUACCAGUGGCGAAGGCGGCCUUCUGGACUGACACUGACACUGAGGUGCGAAAGCGUGGGUAGCAAACAGGAUUAGCUACCCCAGUAGUC
Molecule: ribosomal RNA, 465 nt
Filed under: Vreelandella stevensii
Lineage: Bacteria; Pseudomonadati; Pseudomonadota; Gammaproteobacteria; Oceanospirillales; Halomonadaceae
Description: partial 16S ribosomal RNA
Rfam family: Bacterial small subunit ribosomal RNA
Source: RNAcentral